Molecule: long non-coding RNA, 1420 nt
Organism: Magallana angulata
Lineage: Eukaryota; Metazoa; Mollusca; Bivalvia; Ostreida; Ostreidae
Exons: 2
Source: RefSeq, a predicted model, not a curated record
GGUCAAUGAAACUUUAAAUAAACUAGAAAAGCCGGAUCCUACUCGUAUCAUUUUCAAAGAAACGGGCAAUAAAUGAAUUUGGCAUAACCGUUUGGGUGACAACAAACAUGCUAAAUCUGAUCUUAUUGGUAGGAGCUCUAAAUGUUCUGUUAAAUCAUAAGCCGAUUCUUGGAGUUUCAAAUGUUUAUCGAAGUUUUCAACUGAAUGUAAACAGCGUCGAUGAUUUUCUGCACACACGUAAAAUGCAGCAGGAUGCUGUUCUUCCUGGCCUAUCUAUGGGAUUGCAAGAUCAACCUAUUACUUUUACCAAUGAUUCUGAUGAUGACCACAGUCAUCGAGCAGGCGAACAAUCAGAAACUCGGCUGAACAAAAAACUGAGUCUACCUCAGUUGAGCUCUAUUUUUCAUUUGCAUAGAAAUAAUAAAACAGAUAUGGAAGUUCAGAAUUUUCGGAACGAAAACCCUCUGGAAAUUAAAAACAGCUAUGAAGAGAAGAGGCAAACAUCAAUAUCUGAAAAAUCACACGGUAUUACAAAUGAGGUAUCCAGGAGUACUCUUGGAAGAAUGCUUUUCAGAAACAAAUCUCAACCAAAGUAUUUUGAUAGAUUUGACACAUUUGCUCCUUUGGAGAAUUCUCAAAAACUGCUGUGGUCAGUAAGCGAACUAUGUUGUUCUUAUCAACCAGAGAGGGAGAUAAAUAAAGUUACACAUAAUUCACAAGUAGCGGUUAACGAUUAUAUUUUGCCAAAAAUCUACGAUACCACAAACAAAUUUGAGGAGAAAUAUUUGGAUAAAACAGAAAAAUACCCUAAUCUGUAAGAUGAAUCCGAAGAAACAGACUUAACAUCUCCAGAUCUGUUAUUUCCAUGGAAACAUAUAAUAAAAUCUCAAAACGUCAAAGAAGGUGACAUUUUGGAUCAUCAAAAUCAAACGUUCACGGAAAGAAAAUCCCUAUCGGGCUUCAAUUCCAAUAAGAACUUUCAUAACAUUGAUUGUGAAAAAGACGAGAAAGAAGACAGAAUAAACGAAAACAAGGAAGGAAAUAACAACUUCAAAAGAAAUCACAAAGUCUAUGGACAAUCAAGUAAGAAAAAUGUGAAGAAAUCACAUUCUAGAUUCAAUAGAGUUGUCAGAUAUUUUCCCUUAAGAAAUCGCAGCUGGACAACUUUGUACCAAAAUCCAUUAUGGAAAUACAGAACAAUGAUGAGACAUUUGCCCUGGAUAAAUAAACCUUUCUGGAUCCCAUACUCCGUUUAUAUUCAUUAGAAAAAAAUUCACAGUUUUGUUACAUAGAAUUACAUUUGAUCUUAGUUAGUAAUUCAGCUUGCAAAAUAUUAAUUAUGUAAAAUGCAUUAUUUCUAGAAAUCAGAUUAUUAAGUUAUGAAGCGGGUUUUUUUCUUGGCAAUAAGAUUUUAAAUGUC